Gavialis gangeticus (Gharial) is the source of this 503-nucleotide long non-coding RNA. RefSeq lists it as uncharacterized. NCBI's taxonomy places the organism in Eukaryota, Metazoa, Chordata, Crocodylia, Gavialidae. The transcript has 3 exons. The record is from RefSeq and is a predicted model, not a curated record.
AUCUUAAAUUCGUUGGCUAUCUGAAAUGUAGUAAGUUUCCUACACUUAGGCUUUACGCUGCAAUAUGAAAAGUUAAAACACAAAAUCUCUCACUGGAAAGGCAUGACUAUACAUUUGGUACACACGCAAGCUUAGCAUUAAAUAAACAGUGUACUAUCCAGGCAAGUGGUUUUAUGUACACUCACAUACACACAAUCUAAAUUCUUAAAGUACUAGAAACCUACACAUUCAUUACAGGAUCAAUAAAUCCUCAGACCUAAAAUGUACUGAAAAGAAGAUGAGCUCAGUUUUCCCCUCCAAUUAUCCAACUCAGAAGACAGUAGAAACAAGAACUCCACAACUAAAAAACUGGCAGUCAACUCCUUUUUCCUCUCUUGGAGGCUUUAAAUUAUAAAAAAAAAGGUCUUAAUGGCAAAAGUUAACUUCCAAGUACACACUUGAAAGAUAUAGUAAAUCAUCAAUAUGUCUCAGUCCUUAAAUAAUUUCUAAAUGCAUAAACAAUU